UCUGGUGGCGAUAGCGAAGAGGUCACACCCGUUCCCAUACCGAACACGGAAGUUAAGCUCUUUAGCGCUAAUGGUAGUUGGGACUUUGUCCCUGUGAGAGUAGGACGUUGCCAGGC
RNAcentral lists this ribosomal RNA (116 nucleotides) under Priestia megaterium. Lineage: Bacteria; Bacillati; Bacillota; Bacilli; Caryophanales; Bacillaceae. RNAcentral also lists the same sequence under 1 other name. The record is from RNAcentral.